AAUUAAAUAAUUAGUCAUGCUAUCCCAUGUUUUACUGCUUAAAGAAUAGUCUCUUGUUAUAUGCUAGUGUUUUUUGUAACCUUAGCUUACAGCUAAGAGAUGUUUGGGUGCAACCGCAGCAUGUGAAAUCCCGUGGGUUUACUAUCUACAGAAAGUCACAUGUAUGGAACCUUGCAGAAAGGAGUACAAUAUAGUGUUUGUUGUUGUGAAUGCAGUUAGACGGUUGAGCCCUCGGGCUAUCAACCUCGUGCUAUCUUAAAGUCUGCACAGACAACUAAUUACCUUUUACUUCUGCUAACUGCCACGUGUACAGAAAGGGAUUGUAUUUUCUCUAUAAAAGCAGAGACCUAGCUAUGUUUGUUAAGCUUUCAACUCUGAGCCAUUAUUGGUGAUGUUGAUUGCUUCAUUUUUGCAAAUCUUAGAAUAAAGCUUUUGUUGGAAGAAUUUACUGUUUCUCUCUUCCUCUAGAAUUUCCCUGACAAAAUUGGUGACGAGGAUGGACGGCUAACUCCACUUGCUGAUUGCUCCCACGGAGACCGAGGUUACCUGUGCACAGGACUGCAUUAGACGUGGCUCGGGAACCCAAACUCCGGCUAAAACGGAGCAGAAAGGGACCCGCCUCGGACCGGUUGGGAGCGUCAGUGAAUGGAUAUGCCAUUCCGGACAGACGAAAUAGAUUAAGGGUGCAGGGCCUGGGGAGGUGAGACAGUGGAGGAAGAAGUGUUCCUUUGACACACAGAGGAACCUCUGGCUGGGGCCAAAUGGCCUUCCCGUUUGACCCAGAUCUUGCAAGUUGGCACAUGGCCAAGACCAUGUGUCAAAGGUAGGGAGUUGUAGAAAUUGUACAUCAUUUUUGGUUUGCUCCUGGAUUUUCUGUUUUUGCGGAGCAAUUCUGUGCUAAGUGUUUGAUUUGUAUGACUAACAAUGCAGGCAGAGGCAUUUCGAUGCCUAUGUCAGACCACCCAAGGCCUGAAUGACCUUUUGAGCACAUAAUGAUGGACUUCAUUGAGCGUACUCCAUGCCAGGGGUAUAAGUACUGCCAGGUUGUAGUUGAUGCCUUCUCUAAAUGGGUAGAAGCAUUUCCUUGUAAGCAUGCCACAGCAAUAGCUGUAGCAAAUAACCUACUAAGGGAAAUCAUCCCUAGGUGGGGUCUGCCAUCCAAAUUAACGUCAGACAUCGGCUCUCAUUUUGUAAAUAAUGUUAUUCAGAACAUCUCUGAAAGAUUGCAAAUUGACCUGCGAACACAUUGUAGUUAAUAUCCGUCCAGUGGUGGUCUUUUAGAGAGCCAACCAAAUGCUGAAAAUGAAAUUGGCUAAAAUGAGGGCUGAGACCGGAUUGCCAUGGUAACAGUAAUGUCUCUGGCUCUGAUGUACAUGCGUGGAUGCGCGCAUCGUACCACUAGUUUAGCACCUCAUGAAAUACUCACAGGAAGACCCAUGAGAAUGCUUAUCACGCCAUUCCCUCAGAACAGGUUGACAUUGAUGGUUGUGAGGAUCAAAUGGUAAGUUACUGUGCUGCACUUAACAAUGUUCUGAAGUCUAUUUUUCCCAGGGUGAAAGUGACUUUACAUGAAUCAAAGGGAGGACCAUUACACAAACUUCCACCAGGCGAUUGGGUGGCCAUCAAGGACUUCAGCAGAAAGACCUGGCACCUACAGCGCUGGAGUGGUCCAUUCUAGGAGCUCCUAAUGACCCAGACAGUGGUGAAAGUUGCAGAGAGGUCUACAUGGGUUCACGCCAGCCACCGCAGGAAGGUACCGCACAACCCAGACGAAGAUGUACCAGCCGAUGUCCCAUCGUAGGCAACCCCAGAUGCCAUGUGGCGACCCGGACCGGACUCUACGCAUCAUGUUUGUUGCUUUCGUGGUCAGUCUUCUCAUUGCAGCUGUUGUAUGGGCCUUGGGAGGAGCAGAACAGCCCAGAUUGAGAAGUGGCCACAUUGCAACUGAAGAAUACAACACCAACAUAGUCACAUGGCGGGACUUAAAUAACAGCAGCUCCAACUCGAGCCAACGGCAGGCUCAGGACAGAAGUCCAGAAAACAAUAGCUGCUCCGAUACCAGAAUAAGCAGGAGGUCGAUGCAUCCACCUGACGAGCAUCCCAGCCGGAAUCACGAGGGAAACACUUGGUGGUCACUGCUUAAUCAUACAGUAAAAACUGAACUUAUGGUAGAAAACACCUCCUGCUAUGUAUAUAGUCUUUUUCCACACUCAGCGAUUUCACCAUUCCUACAGUAUUCAGUAGAGGCCAGCAUUAAUGACACUCUAUGUGCACUGGUAAUGCUCUUAUCAAAUGAAACUUCAUGGGGUAAACCUUCACAGGGUAAAACUUUGAGGGAAAAAUGCAUUAAUGGUGAUUUAUCAUUGACAAAAUAUAUCAGAGGUGGAUUUGAUUGUGCACAUUGGUGUACCAAAAUUAUUUUAGAACCCAGACACCGUGUACCAGAGCCUAUUCUAAUCCAACCCCGGCGAACCCCAUUCCGAUCCUGCCAUUGUCACAACCCAAGUAAUAUCUCCAUACCACAAUUCAAUGAAUCCAAUCUGGGAAUGUCAACGUGUGUUAAUUACAGUGUCUUCCCAAUAGGAUGUAGCUAGAUAAAUGGAACAUGCGCUUCUAGCAUUCCCAUUAAACUAAAUGUGGGGUACACCACUAUUCAGACAGAAACAGACAUUUACUCUCCACAUCAAUAUGGCUCAGCCACGUUUACUGAUUAUUUUUGGAUCUGUGGUGAUAAGGCAUAUCUUUAUUUACUAACAAAUUGGACAGGGUGCUGUGUUUUGGUAAACUAAAUAUCUCCAAUGUUGUAAUGCAUAAAACCAACUCCUCCAUUCCAAGUAGAUUAAGACAGGUUAGAAGGAGCAUUUCACAAUUAAAUGACGUUCCAAUUGAGUCACAAAAAUCCUCGAAACAUGAAAAGUUUUGGUGCGGGUUAAUUCCUUGGUAUGGGGCAUCUGAAAAUGCCUAUGAUUUAGAUUGAUUAGGAUAUCAUUUAAAAUCUUUGGUCAAUUUAACCACUUCAGGAUUUUUGAUAAUAAGACCGGAAUUGCAAGCCGGUCGCCUCACGGCUGUACAGAAUAGGGUAGCACUUGACAUGUUGCUAGCAGGGGAGGGGGGAGUGUGCAAAAUGAUAGGUGACCAUUGCUGUACAUUCAUACCCCGCAGUGAGGGUAACUUUACUAUGGUUGUGGAACAUCUGAAAGAGCUCAGCGGUGAUCUCGCAAACGAACACCAACCAGACAACGAUUGGAAUCCAUUUGGAUGGAUUCAGUCAUUAUUUGGUGUUAUGGGAGCUACAAUAUUUCAUUGGUUGAUUUAUGGCUUAGUUAUUUGUUUUACAAUAAUGCUUAUUAUAACCUGUGUUAAGAAAUUAUGCAGGAAAGCCGUUGAGACUAUUCUUGCCAUGCCAUUACCGACCCCUGAAGGAAAUGUCUCAGAACCCUAUUUACCAGAUUUAUUUCCUAUGUCUGACUACGUCUGAUGAAGACAAUGAUAAUCCCUAACUCCAAGGUAAAAACAUUCAGUUAAUGAUGCAGCAUGCCCGUAGGCCAUGCUCAAAGCAGAGGUUCUGUAAAUAAUGCUCCCAAGGUAGAGUUAAGGGCCUACCGUCAUGGUGACCCUGUGGCAAUAUGGACAGUCUCAACGAAGCUAUUGCCUUGUGUGUGGUGAUAAAGUAUGAACCAAUGUUUAUAUUCAUAUGUUCCUUUCCCCCUUUCUUGCACUAUUUGAACGAUUGAAACUUGCAAUGUAUUGUAGUUUACUAAGUGUAAGAAAAGUAUUUCCUUUUCCUCUUUUUCCUCAUGUCAAUGCCUCCUCAUGUCAAUGCAAUGUUUAAUGAAAAUGCUUGUAAGUAAUUUUCUAUUAGGUUUAAACUUAGUCUCAAAAGGGAGGAAAUGUUGUGGAAAAUUACAUAAUUAGUCAUGCUAUCCCGUGUUUUACUGCUUAAAGAAUAGUCUUUUGUUAUAUGCUAGUGUUUUUUCUAACCUGAUACAAACUUCUCUUGGUGUGACUUAGUCAUAAGACUGGGUUUGCAGCUAAGAGACGUUUGGGUUCAACUGCAGCAUGUGAAAUCCGGUGGGUUUACUAUCUAUAGAAAGUCACGUAUGGAACCUUGCAGAAAGGAGUACAAUAUAGUGUUUGUUGUUGUGAAUGCAGUUAGACGGUUGAGCCCUCGGGCUACCAACCUCGUGCUAUCUUAAAGUCUGCACAGAUAACUAAUUACCUUUUACACACUCUGCUGACUACCACGGAUACAGAAAGGGGUUGUAUAUUCUCUAUAAAAGCAGAGACCUGGCUAUGUUUGUUAAGAUUUCAACUCUGAAACAUUAUUGGUGAUGUUGAUUGCUUCAUUUUUGCAAGUCUUAUAAUAAAGCUUUUGUUGGAAGAAUU
Molecule: non-coding RNA, 4386 nt
Organism: Salmo salar (Atlantic salmon)
Lineage: Eukaryota; Metazoa; Chordata; Actinopteri; Salmoniformes; Salmonidae
Source: RefSeq, a predicted model, not a curated record